AGACGAUUGCUGCUAGGGGUGGGGGACGCUUCCAGAGAUCAGAGGCGGGAGACUGUUUACCGGACUGAGCCCUCCCGCUCACACAGUGAGCGGCAGACCGGAUGACCUCAGCCUGGUGCACUGCCCUCUUCCCCUCUCGAGGUCCCGGGGAGGAGUCGCCCGUGCGGACUGAACAAAGUCGAGUUCCUGCGCUGGUCCCGCACAGAGGCCGAAGGAAAGGGCAGGGAUGAGGCUGUGCCUGCUGGGCUGCUUGGUGGCCGCACUGAUUUGGGAGGGGGCCGGCAUCCCCCUGGGAAGGGCUCCAACACGGGAGGAGUCAAAGGAACAGGUCAAGAUCAAGAGACUCAAGCAUCAUCGUUUUCACCCUUCUAACAGGAUACCGUUCCAAAUGAGGACCGUCGAACAACCUCUACUACAGGCAUUUAAGAGAGAUUGGAAUUCCUCAGAAGACUUCCCCAUAUGCUGCGAUGGCAGCGUGGACGGGCCCGAGAGCAGAAAGGAAGGAGGGGAAGCCGGCAGGAAUUCUUCCACGGAGGACAUAUACGUGAUAUUCGGGACGUUCGUGGAUCCUGCCGAGGAGGGAACAUUGGAAAGAAGGAGCCGUUGUGAAGGCUGUUGUGGAGAGAGAGUCACUUUGGGGCCGGAAUCCUGGAGAAGCCAGGAGGAGGCCGGGGAUGUUCCGGGUACCGGAACCACUCACAUGGAGAAGACCGGGGAAAUGAAGGUCAUCAAUCUGCAUGAUAACAUCAACUUGACUUUUGCUUUGAGCAGACCCUUCACCCAAGUCUGGAAGAAAGAAAGUGACCUCUGUGCUGGCUGCUGCCCUGACCCCAGGACCCACCGAUCAGAAGUCCCUGCAGAUGGAGAGGAAGGAGGAGUGGUCGGGAGCUCUCCUGGGCUGGCCAGUGUCCAAGGACCACAGAAUUCCUGGACCAGACUGGGCCAUUUGAUCCGCAGGAUUCAGGAUCCUGGAGGAUACUUCUGGGGUAACCCAGGGCCCCCCACCCAGCCAAUACACCCUCAGGAGGAGAAAACACAGAGAAGAACCCAGGGAGGGUCUUACUGCUCAAGGCCAUCCAAGGACCAAUUAAGUUAAACUGGUGUCAACCCAACCCGGCCCUGUGGAAUCCAGAACAACCAAUCUGGUCUCUCUCUCUCUCUCUCUGGUAGCACCAAGCUUAGGUGGCUACUCUUCCUGCUUCCAAUCGCUCUUUCCUUCCUCCCCCACGCUCGGUCUCUUGUGUCUUUACACCGAUCUGGCCUGCAGCCCAGCUUCCUCCCCUCCCCUGCGAGGCCACUACUCUCUGUAACAGUCACCAAGAAGCCUCAGGUUGGGCAGGAAACGGUUAACCCCGCAGGGAAUGAUGGAGGAAUCUGGGAAUAAAGGAGUUGGAGAUCUGUUCUCAGUGCCCUUGUCUUGGGGGGGACAGUCGAUGCUGAGAGUCUCCAGGAGGAAAAAUUGGGCUCCCCUUAAUAAUAAUAGUAAUUACUAAUUAUUAUGUAUUACUAUAGUAUUAAGUGCUGGAGCAGAGCCAAGAUAAUCAUGUUGCACACAGUCCUUGUCUCACAGGGGUUUCACAGACUAGACAGAAGGAAGUAGAAUUUAAUCCACAUUUAAUAGAUGAGGAAACAGACACGGAGAAGUUAAGUGAUUUGCCCAAAGUCACCCAGCGGGCAACUGGCAGAGAUGACAUUUGAACCCAGGUCCUCUGGCUCCCAGGCCCGGGGUCUUUCUACGGCUUCCGUUAAUCUUGUCUGUGGCAGACAGGAGUCCUCUCGGGGCUGACAAAUCACCACCACCCCUUCCUGCUGUCGCCGGAGUCAUAUUGAGGUUUGAUUCCAACUGAGUCUUCCGUAACUCAACCCAGUUUCUAAGUUAAAAUCUUGGAACUAGGCUUCUGUGAGGCAGGCAACUGUUUCCACAGUAACGGGCAUCUACAAAGACGCCCCCCGCCCAAUUUUACUUUCUCUUCUGGAACCUCGCCCAGGCCAAGGGACAACCACUCCCUCCCAAUCUCCCCAGAACCAGGUGGGGCUGGCCACCGCACGCAAAAUUACCGGCCACCGCAAAGCCCAUGUCGUCACAUGUGCUAGGUCAGGCCUGCAGUGUACCGUAUUGACAUCGUAUAUGACAUUUUGAGGUCUUCCACCUGUGUCCUCCUGAAUCGAGCGUGUUUCUCUGAUUCCCCAACUCUCACUCACUCCCCAGUUUUGUGUCCCCUUCCCAAGUCCGUGUGAAUAUAGACGCCGCUUCCAAGCCGUGGAACGCAGCGUUCGGCUUGACGGCGGAGGAGGACGGAUACCUUUUUUUAUGGUAUUUGUUAAGUACUUACUAAGAGUCAAACACCGUUCUAAGCACUGGGGUAAGUACAUACUAAUUAGGUCGGACACAAUCCCUGUCCCUCACGGGGCUCACAGCCUAAGUAGGAGGCAGAAAAGGGAUUAAAUUCCCACUUUAUAGUCGAUGAAACUGAAGCACAGAAAAGUUAAGUGACUUGUCCAAGAUCACACACCAAGCAGUUGGCAGAGCUAUUGGAUGGGGUGGGAUUCAAACCCAGGUCCUCUGACUCCCAGGCCCGGGCCUUUUCCAUUAGGCCAUGAUGCCUUGGUACUUAGCCCCAAAUCCCAGACCUAAAGGCGUCUGGUGUCCUAAUUGCCUCAGCCUGGGACAGACCAGCUGAAAAAUGACCCGUCUGAUGUAAAACUGGGUGAAUGGCCACUUUACAGAGCAAUAAUCAAGAGCCAGGAUUAGAACCCAGGUCCUCUGACUCCCGGGCCUGGGGUCUUUCCAUUAGGCCACACUGCUUCAUCUGUCACCAUCUGCCCUGCUUCUAGAAGUGCCUGAACCCUGACAGAGCCCUGGGGAGUAGCAGCAGGGGGAGGAGGCAAAUCUGUAGUAUUCAUUCAAUAUUCAUUCAAUAGUAUUUAUUGAGCGCUUACUAUGUGCAGAGCACUGUACUAAGCGCUUGGGAUGAACAAGUCGGCAACAGAUAGAGACGGUCCCUGCCGUUUGACGGGCUCACGGUCUAAUCGGGGUAGAUGGACGGACAAGAACAAUGGCGAUUAUAUAGAGUCGAGGGGAAGAACAUCUCGUAAAAACCGAUGGCGACUAAAUAGAAUCGAGGCGAUGUACAAUUCAUUAACAAAAUAAAUAGGGUAACGGAAAUAUAUACAGUUGAGCGGACGAGUACAGUGCUGUGGGGAGGGGAAGGGAGAGGUGGAGGAGCAGAGGGAAAGGGGGAAAAGAGGGUUUAGCUGUGGAGAGGUGAAGGGGGGGCGGUAGAGGGAGUAGAAGGAGAAGGGAGCUCAGUCUGGGAAGGCCUCUCGGAGGAGGUGAGUUUUAAGUAGGGUUUCGAAGAGGGGAAGAGAAUCAGUUUGGCGGAGGUGAGGAGGGAGGGCGUUCCGGGACCGCGGGAGGACGCGGCCCGGGGGUCGUCGGCAGGAUAGGCGAGACCGAGGGACGGCGAGGAGGUGGGCGGCGGAGGAGCGGAGCGUGCGGGGUGGGUGGUAGAAAGAGAGACGGGAGGAGAGGUAGGAAGGGGCAAGGUGAUGUAGAGCCUCGAAGCCUAGAGUGAGGAGUUUUUGUUUGGAGCGGAGGUCGAUAGGCAACCACUGGAGUUGUUUAAGAAGGGGAGUGACAGGCCCAGAUCGUUUCUGCGGGAAGAUGAGCCGGGCAGCGGAGUGAAGAAUAUACCGGAGCGGGGCGAGAGAGGAGGAAGGGAGGUCAGAGAGAAGGCUGACACGGUAGUCUAGCCGGGAUAUAACGAGAGCCCGUAGCGGUAAGGUAGCCGUUUGGGUGGAGAGGAGAGGGCGGAUCUUGGCGAUAUUGUAUAGGUGAAACCGGCAGGUCUUGGUAAUCGCCCCUUCAUCUCCACCCAGGUCUGGGCUGUUCGCCCAGGGCCUUUGCGCUCUGCCAAUGUCAGAAGGGGGAGAGUGUUUACCAAGCGGAGGCCCAGCUCCCCCACAGGGUGCAGCCCAAUGACCCAAGCCUCGGGGACUGCUCUCUCCACACUCUGGGGUAGAGGAGAGGGCCCCCACUGAAGCCGCAGUGACGGGAAGAGAUGAGGCUGGGACCACUGGGCUUCUUGGUGGCCGGGCUGGCCCUGGGGGUAGCCAGCAGCCCCCUGGGAAAGGCCCCCGCCCAGAGGUUACAGGUACAGGACGUGGGAGUGGGCACGGGGACACCAGAGGAACGGGGGUAACGGUCAAUUCAUGGAGGCAAAGGGGGUUCGCGGGGCUGAGGCGGAGACGGAGACCGGGGCCAGGGAGCGAGGGCAGGGUCCCCCUUCCCUUGUCCCUCUUCCACCCAUCGGGGCCAUGCAGACCCCUCCAUCUCCCCCCUCGUUCACAAAGUUAAUCCCGGCCCGGACGUCUUCCCGACUCCUCCCUCUGCCACCUAAUUCAUUUCUCCUCUUGACUGAGGGUUCCUCACAAACCUCUCUGACCAUCCCUAAACUGAGUCACCCUCCCUGGGUAUGUUUUCCAUAUCACAGUAUUUCUGUUCCCUGUACUAGAGUUUCCCAGAUAGGAGAUUGUGGAUAGGUUGGGGGAUCUGGGCUGGCUAGAGAUUCCGGAGCCGUUGGGCAUUCUGGAGCAGCUGGGGAUUCUAGAGCCGUUGGGCUGACCCGUUUCAGUAGGGGGUAGGCGUCCUCUUGAAGGCCCUUUGUGGGGUCAGUUUCCUGUUUGCUUCAACAGGUGCCCUGGUGCCUUGGCGACCGUUUCCCUCCCACCAGAAGGCCUUGACUUUCCUGUCGGCUUUCUAGUUACCCCUUUCUCUCGUCCCUUCUCCAACCCAAUUUCUGAACAAGUAACGGCACCAAUUCUGGUGAAGCAGUACAGGUCCAAGGUGGGCGGCCCCAUCCCGGCUCCUUUCUUUCUUUCUUUUAAAUUUUAACAAUAAUAAUAAUAAUUUGUUAAGCACUUACUCUGUGCCAGGCACUGUUCUAAGUGCUGAGAUAGAUACAAUAAGAGAAAUAGUAAUUAUGGUACUCUGUUAAGUGCUUACUAUGUGCCAAUCACUGCUCUAAUCAUUGGGAUAGAUACAAGAUAAUCAGGUUGGACACAUUUAUGCUUUUUUUUUUGUAAGGUUGGACCGAUUUUUAGGAAAAGAC
This 5111-nucleotide long non-coding RNA is filed under the name Ornithorhynchus anatinus (platypus). Its description in RNAcentral is "lncRNA (ENSOANG00000049914.1)". The record is from RNAcentral. Lineage: Eukaryota; Metazoa; Chordata; Mammalia; Monotremata; Ornithorhynchidae.